UAGGGAAUCUUCGGCAAUGGACGAAAGUCUGACCGAGCAACGCCGCGUGAGUGAAGAAGGUUUUCGGAUCGUAAAACUCUGUUGUUAGAGAAGAACAAGGACGUUAGUAACUGAACGUCCCCUGACGGUAUCUAACCAGAAAGCCACGGCUAACUACGUGCCAGCAGCCGCGGUAAUACGUAGGUGGCAAGCUUUGUCCGGAUUUAUUGGGCGUAAAGCGAGCGCAGGCGGUUUCUUAAGUCUGAUGUGAAAGCCCCCGGCUCAACCGGGGAGGGUCAUUGGAAACUGGGAGACUUGAGUGCAGAAGAGGAGAGUGGAAUUCCAUGUGUAGCGGUGAAAGGCGUAGAUAUAUGGAGGAACACCAGUGGCGAAGGCGGCUCUCUGGUCUGUAACUGACGCUGAGGCUCGAAAGCGUGGGGAGCAAACAGG
This 429-nucleotide ribosomal RNA is filed under the name Gemmatimonadota bacterium. RNAcentral's name for it is "Gemmatimonadetes bacterium partial 16S ribosomal RNA". It matches the Rfam family "Bacterial small subunit ribosomal RNA", at positions 355 to 776 of the family's 1533-position model. The record is from RNAcentral. Lineage: Bacteria; Pseudomonadati; Gemmatimonadota.